UAUAACCGGCGAUACCCGAAUGGGGAAACCCAGUGUGACUCGUCACACUAUCAUUAACUGAAUCCAUAGGUUAAUGAGGCGAACCGGGGGAACUGAAACAUCUAAGUACCCCGAGGAAAAGAAAUCAACCGAGAUUCCCCCAGUAGCGGCGAGCGAACGGGGAGGAGCCCAGAGCCUGAAUCAGCAUGUGUGUUAGUGGAAGCGUCUGGAAAGGCGCGCGAUACAGGGUGACAGCCCCGUACACAAAAGCGCAUGUGCUGUGAGCUCGAUGAGUAGGGCGGGACACGUGGUAUCCUGUCUGAAUAUGGGGGGACCAUCCUCCAAGGCUAAAUACUCCUGACUGACCGAUAGUGAACCAGUACCGUGAGGGAAAGGCGAAAAGAACCCCGGCGAGGGGAGUGAAAAAGAACCUGAAACCGUGUACGUACAAGCAGUGGGAGCACCCUUUGGGUGUGACUGCGUACCUUUUGUAUAAUGGGUCAGCGACUUAUAUUCUGUAGCAAGGUUAACCGAAUAGGGGAGCCGGAGGGAAACCGAGUCUUAAUUGGGCGUUAAGUUGCAGGGUAUAGACCCGAAACCCGGUGAUCUAGCCAUGGGCAGGUUGAAGGUUGGGUAACACUAACUGGAGGACCGAACCGACUAAUGUUGAAAAAUUAGCGGAUGACCUGUGGCUGGGGGUGAAAGGCCAAUCAAACCGGGAGAUAGCUGGUUCUCCCCGAAAGCUAUUUAGGUAGCGCCUCGUGAAUUCAUCUCCGGGGGUAGAGCACUGUUUCGGCUAGGGGGCCAUCCCGGCUUACCAACCCGAUGCAAACUGCGAAUACCGGAGAAUGUUAUCACGGGAGACACACGGCGGGUGCUAACGUCCGUCGUGAAGAGGGAAACAACCCAGACCGCCAGCUAAGGUCCCAAAGUCAUGGUUAAGUGGGAAACGAUGUGGGAAGGCCCAGACAGCCAGGAUGUUGGCUUAGAAGCAGCCAUCAUUUAAAGAAAGCGUAAUAGCUCACUGGUCGAGUCGGCCUGCGCGGAAGAUGUAACGGGGCUAAACCAUGCACCGAAGCUGCGGCAGCGACGCUUAUGCGUUGUUGGGUAGGGGAGCGUUCUGUAAGCCUGCGAAGGUGGCCUGUGAGGGUUGCUGGAGGUAUCAGAAGUGCGAAUGCUGACAUAAGUAACGAUAAAGCGGGUGAAAAGCCCGCUCGCCGGAAGACCAAGGGUUCCUGUCCAACGUUAAUCGGGGCAGGGUGAGUCGACCCCUAAGGCGAGGCCGAAAGGCGUAGUCGAUGGGAAACGGGUUAAUAUUCCCGUACUUGGUGUUACUGCGAAGGGGGGACGGAGAAGGCUAUGUUGGCCGGGCGACGGUUGUCCCGGUUUAAGCGUGUAGGCUGGUUUUCCAGGCAAAUCCGGAAAAUCAAGGCUGAGGCGUGAUGACGAGGCACUACGGUGCUGAAG
Molecule: ribosomal RNA, 1446 nt
Filed under: Salmonella enterica subsp. enterica serovar Enteritidis
Lineage: Bacteria; Pseudomonadati; Pseudomonadota; Gammaproteobacteria; Enterobacterales; Enterobacteriaceae
Description: partial 23S ribosomal RNA
Rfam family: Bacterial large subunit ribosomal RNA
Source: RNAcentral